GGUGCAGACACAGGUGAUGGACUGUGAUGAGACACAGGUGUGGGAAUGAUCGUGGACCAGGGUUGGAUCUAGGAGUCUAGAUCACAGGCUGGUUUGUCCUAAGGUAUUGGGUGAAGAAAAGAAACCGUAAGAGCAUUUUAUGUAACAAUGUAUACAAAAAGAACAUCACAUCAUAUAAAAAUGGUGCAGUUUGGGGCACCACUGAUUUCCAUUGUAGG
This is a long non-coding RNA of Cyprinus carpio (common carp), 218 nucleotides long. RefSeq lists it as uncharacterized. The transcript has 2 exons. NCBI's taxonomy places the organism in Eukaryota, Metazoa, Chordata, Actinopteri, Cypriniformes, Cyprinidae. The record is from RefSeq and is a predicted model, not a curated record.